CUUGGUCAUUUAGAGGAAGUAAAAGUCGUAACAAGGUUUCCGUAGGUGAACCUGCGGAAGGAUCAUUAAAAAAAGAGAAAUGCCCCGUUUUUUUCAUAAGAAUGGGUUCUAUUCCCUUAAACCGUGUCUACAUACCUUUGUUGCUUUGGCAGGCCGCCCUCGGGCGUCGGCUCCGGCUGAUAGUGCCUGCCAGAGGACCCAAACUCUAUGUUUAGUGAUGUCUGAGUACUAUAUAAUAUUUAAAACUUUCAACAACGGAUCUCUUGGUUCUGGCAUCGAUGAAGAACGCAGCGAAAUGCGAUAAGUAAUGUGAAUUGCAGAAUUCAGUGAAUCAUCGAAUCUUUGAACGCACAUUGCGCCCCUUGGUAUUCCGAGGGGCAUGCCUGUUCGAGCGUCAUUAUAACCACUCAAGCCUAGCUUGGUAUUGGGGUUCGCGUGUUCGCGGCCCUUAAAAUCAGUGGCGGUGCCGUCUGGCUCUAAGCGUAGUAAUUUCCCUCGCUAUAGGGUUCCGGUGGUUACUUGCCAAAACCCCCCAUUUUUCUAGGUUGACCUCGGAUCAGGUAGGGAUACCCGCUGAACUUAAGCAUAUCAAUAAGCGGAGGA
RNAcentral lists this ribosomal RNA (603 nucleotides) under uncultured Helotiales. RNAcentral's name for it is "eukaryotic LSU rRNA". The stretch from base 244 to 397 matches the Rfam family "5.8S ribosomal RNA". Lineage: Eukaryota; Fungi; Ascomycota; Leotiomycetes; Helotiales. The record is from RNAcentral.